Molecule: ribosomal RNA, 501 nt
Filed under: uncultured bacterium
Lineage: Bacteria
Description: partial 16S ribosomal RNA
Rfam family: Bacterial small subunit ribosomal RNA
Source: RNAcentral
AUUGAACGCUGGCGGCAUGCCUUACACAUGCAAGUUGAACGGCAGCACGGGUGCUUGCACCUGGUGGCGAGUGGCGAACGGGUGAGUAAUACAUCGGAACGUACCUUAUCGUGGGGGAUAACGCAGCGAAAGCUGUGCUAAUACCGCAUACGCCCUGAGGGGGAAAGCGGGGGAUCGAAAGACCUCGCGCGAUUAGAGCGGCCGAUGCCUGAUUAGCUUGUUGGUGGGGUAAAAGCCCACCAAGGCGACGAUCAGUAGCUGGUCUGAGAGGACGAUCAGCCACACUGGGACUGAGACACGGCCCAGACUCCUACGGGAGGCAGCAGUGGGGAAUUUUGGACAAUGGGGGCAACCCUGAUCCAGCAAUGCCGCGUGAGUGAAGAAGGCCUUCGGGUUGUAAAGCUCUUUUGUCAGGGAAGAAACACCGGCUCUAACACAGUUCGGGAAUGACGGUACCUGAAGAAUAAGCACCGGCUAACUACGUGCCAGCCGCCGCGGUAA